UACGUAGGGUGCAAGCGUUGUCCGGAAUUAUUGGGCGUAAAGAGCUCGUAGGCGGUCUGUUGCGUCGGCUGUGAAAACCCGGGGCUCAACUCCGGGCCUGCAGCCGAUACGGGCAGACUAGAGUUCGGCAGGGGAGACUGGAAUUCCUGGUGUAGCGGCGAAAUGCGCAGAUAUCAGGAGGAACACCGGUGGCGAAGGCGGGUCUCUGGGCCGAUACUGACGCUGAGGAGCGAAAGCGUGGGGAGCGAACAGG
Molecule: ribosomal RNA, 253 nt
Filed under: uncultured bacterium
Lineage: Bacteria
Description: partial 16S ribosomal RNA
Rfam family: Bacterial small subunit ribosomal RNA
Source: RNAcentral